Molecule: unclassified non-coding RNA, 238 nt
Filed under: plant metagenome
Description: partial contains small subunit ribosomal RNA and internal transcribed spacer 1
Rfam family: Eukaryotic small subunit ribosomal RNA (bases 1-46)
Source: RNAcentral
AAGUCGUAACAAGGUUUCCGUAGGUGAACCUGCGGAAGGAUCAUUAGUGAAUUUUUAGGGUGCUCUUCCCCUUUUUUAACAAAGGGAAGAGGCCUGACCUCCCACUCUCCAACACUGUGCACUUAUCGGCAUUAGGAUUUCUAGCUAGGGAGGACGCAAGUCCAAUCUUGUUAGCUUUCCUUCUGCGGCCUCAUUUUUAACACUUGUCAAAGAAUGUAACAAAACCAUAACAAAAAAA